GACGAACGCUGCGGCGUGCUUAACACAUGCAAGUCGAACGGAAAGGCCCCCACCUUGGUGGGGGUGCUCGAGUGCGAACGGGUAAAGUGGGUAUUGCCCUGUACUUCGGGAUAAGCUUGGGAGACUGGGUCUAAUACCGGAUAGGACCAUGGUUUAGUGUCUCAUGGUGGAAAAAUUAUUGUUUUGGUGCAGGAUGAGCUCGCGGCCUAUCAGCUUGUUGGUGGGGUAAUGGCCUACCAAGGCGUCGACGGGUAGCCGGCCUGAGAGGGUGGACGGCCACAUUGGGACUGAGAUACGGCCCAGACUCCUACGGGAGGCAGCAGUGGGGAAUAUUGCACAAUGGGCGCAAGCCUGAUGCAGCGACGCCGCGUGGGGGAUGACGGCCUUCGGGUUGUAAACUCCUUUCGUUAGGGACGAAGCCACACCUUUUUUGGGUGUGGUGACGGUACCUUUGUUAAGAAGCACG
RNAcentral lists this ribosomal RNA (466 nucleotides) under Corynebacterium matruchotii. RNAcentral describes it as "bacterial SSU rRNA". It matches the Rfam family "Bacterial small subunit ribosomal RNA", at positions 28 to 494 of the family's 1533-position model. Lineage: Bacteria; Bacillati; Actinomycetota; Actinomycetes; Mycobacteriales; Corynebacteriaceae. The record is from RNAcentral.